Molecule: ribosomal RNA, 488 nt
Filed under: uncultured Methanosaeta sp.
Lineage: Archaea; Methanobacteriati; Methanobacteriota; Methanomicrobia; Methanotrichales; Methanotrichaceae
Description: bacterial SSU rRNA
Rfam family: Archaeal small subunit ribosomal RNA
Source: RNAcentral
AACUUAAAGGAAUUGACGGGGGAGCACCACAACGGGUGGAGCUUGGUCGGUUUAAUUGGAUUCAACGCCGGAAAUCUUACCGGGACCGACAGCAAUAUGAAGGCCAGGCUGAAGACUUUGCCGGAUUAGCUGAGAGGUGGUGCAUGGCCGUCGUCAGUUCGUACUGUGAAGCAUCCUGUUAAGUCAGGCAACGAGCGAGACCCACGCCCACAGUUGCCAGCGUACUCUCUGGAGUGACGGGUACACUGUGGGGACCGCCGCUGCUAAAGCGGAGGAAGGAAUGGGCAACGGUAGGUCAGUAUGCCCCGAAUAUCCCGGGCUACACGCGAGCUACAAUGGUUGGUACAAUGGGUAUCUACCCCGAAAGGGGACGGGAAUCUCCUAAAACCAAUCUUAGUUCGGAUUGAGGGCUGCAACUCGCCCUCAUGAAGCUGGAAUCCGUAGUAAUCGCGUUUCAACAGAACGCGGUGAAUACGUCCCUGCUCCUU